AACGAACGCUGGCGGCAUGCCUAACACAUGCAAGUCGAACGAGACCUUCGGGUCUAGUGGCGCACGGGUGCGUAACGCGUGGGAACCUGCCCUUAGGUUCGGAAUAACUCCCCGAAAGGGGUGCUAAUACCGGAUAAUGUCUUCGGACCAAAGAUUUAUCGCCUUUGGAUGGGCCCGCGUUGGAUUAGCUAGUUGGUAGGGUAAAAGCCUACCAAGGCGACGAUCCAUAGCUGGUCUGAGAGGAUGAUCAGCCACACUGGGACUGAGACACGGCCCAGACUCCUACGGGAGGAAGCAGGGGGGAAUAUGGGACAAUGGGCGAAAGCCUGAUCCAGCAAUCCGCGUGAGUGAUGAAGGCCUUAGGGUUGUAAAGCUCUUUUACCCGGGAUGAUAAUGACAGUACCGGGAGAAUAAGCUCCGGCUAACUCCGUG
Molecule: ribosomal RNA, 432 nt
Filed under: uncultured bacterium
Lineage: Bacteria
Description: partial 16S ribosomal RNA
Rfam family: Bacterial small subunit ribosomal RNA
Source: RNAcentral